Molecule: ribosomal RNA, 497 nt
Filed under: uncultured bacterium
Lineage: Bacteria
Description: partial 16S ribosomal RNA
Rfam family: Bacterial small subunit ribosomal RNA
Source: RNAcentral
GAUGAACGCUGGCGGCGUGCCUAAUACAUGCAAGUCGAGCGAACGGACGAGAAGCUUGCUUCUCUGAUGUUAGCGGCGGACGGGUGAGUAACACGUGGAUAACCUACCUAUAAGACUGGGAUAACUUCGGGAAACCGGAGCUAAUACCGGAUAAUAUUUUGAACCGCAUGGUUCAAAAGUGAAAGACGGUCUUGCUGUCACUUAUAGAUGGAUCCGCGCUGCAUUAGCUAGUUGGUAAGGUAACGGCUUACCAAGGCAACGAUGCAUAGCCGACCUGAGAGGGUGAUCGGCCACCCGGGAACUGAGACACGGUCCAGACUCCUACGGGAGGCAGCAGUAGGGAAUCUUCCGCAAUGGGCGAAAGCCUGACGGAGCAACGCCGCGUGAGUGAUGAGGGUCUUCGGAUCGUAAAGCUCUGUUAUUAGGGAAGAACAUAUGUGUAAGUAACUGUGCACAUCUUGACGGUACCUAAUCAGAAAGCCACGGCUAACUACGUG